GACACGGCUGGCGGCGUGCUUAACACAUGCAAGUCGAACGGUAAGGCCCUUCGGGGUACACGAGUGGCGAACGGGUGAGUAACACGUGGGUGAUCUGCCCUGCACUUCGGGAUUAAGCUUGGGAAACUGGGUCUAAUACCGGAUAGGACCACGGUCUGCAUGGAUUGUGGUGGAAAGCUUUUGCGGUGUGGGAUGGGCCCGCGGCCUAUCAGCUUGUUGGUGGGGUGAUGGCCUACCAAGGAACGACGACGGGUAGCCGGCCUGAGAGGGUGUCCGGCCACACUGGGACUGAGAUACGGCCCAGACUCCUACGGGAGGCAGCAGUGGGGAAUAUUGCACAAUGGGCGCAAGCCUGAUGCAGCGACGCCGCGUGGGGGAUGACGGCCUUCGGGUUGUAAACCUCUUUCAGCAGGGACGAAGGGUGACUGACGGUACCUGUAGAAGAAGCACCGGCCAACUACGUG
RNAcentral lists this ribosomal RNA (464 nucleotides) under uncultured bacterium. RNAcentral describes it as "bacterial SSU rRNA". It matches the Rfam family "Bacterial small subunit ribosomal RNA", at positions 35 to 507 of the family's 1533-position model. The record is from RNAcentral.